RNAcentral lists this ribosomal RNA (493 nucleotides) under Arabidopsis thaliana (thale cress). The record is from RNAcentral. Lineage: Eukaryota; Viridiplantae; Streptophyta; Magnoliopsida; Brassicales; Brassicaceae.
CGUGAUUUGGGCUAUAUUACGGACCCAAAAUUACUUUUUCAAGCAUUGUUUUCGAAUAUUUUUCAUGCAUCAAAGCUCGUUAAGACUAGAUGGGGUAUCCCUACAUGGCGGGUGGGACCCACGGCGAACGGUUCAUCAAGACUUAAAAAAAGAAUAUAUACGAUUGCAUUGCAUAUACUAACGGAUGCGAUCAUACCAGCACUAAUGCACCGGAUCCCAUAAGAACUCCGCAGUUAAGCGUGCUUGGGCGAGAGUAGUACUAGGAUGGGUGACCUCCCGGGAAGUCCUCGUGUUGCAUCCCUCUUUUUUUUUUUUUUUUUUUUGGUUAAAACUUUAUGACUCUAUAACUUCUAUACCGUGAGGCCAAACUUGGCAUGUGAUACCUUUUCGGAAAGCCCAAAGAGAGCCUCCGACGAAAGAAGCAAGACAAUGGAAUUUUUCCAUUGACUUUUUGUGGACUCCAAAUUUUGACCUUUAACUACUUUUUCGGGAA